This 483-nucleotide ribosomal RNA is filed under the name uncultured bacterium. Its description in RNAcentral is "partial 16S ribosomal RNA". It matches the Rfam family "Bacterial small subunit ribosomal RNA", at positions 30 to 507 of the family's 1533-position model. The record is from RNAcentral.
AUUGAACGCUGGCGGCAGGCCUAACACAUGCAAGUCGAGCGGAUGAAGGGAGCUUGCUCCUGGAUUCAGCGGCGGACGGGUGAGUAAUGCCUAGGAAUCUGCCUGGUAGUGGGGGAUAACGUCCGGAAACGGGCGCUAAUACCGCAUACGUCCUGAGGGAGAAAGUGGGGGAUCUUCGGACCUCACGCUAUCAGAUGAGCCUACGUCGGAUUAGCUAGUUGGUGGGGUAAAGGCCUACCGGGGCGCCGAUCCGUAACUGGUCUGAGAGGAUGAUCAGUCACACUGGAAGUGAGACGCGGUGCAGGCUCGUACGGGAGGCAGGAGUGGGGAAUGUUGGGCAAUGGGCGAAAGGCUGAGCCAGCCAUGCCGUGGGUGUAAGAAGGUCUUCGGAUUGUAAAGCGCCUUAAGUUGGGAGGAAGGGCAGUAAGUUAAUACCUUGCUGUUUUGACGUUACCAACAGAAUAAGCACCGGCUAACUUCGUG